AACGCCGCGUGAGUGAAGAAGGCUUUCGGGUCGUAAAACUCUGUUGUUGGAGGAGAAUGGUCGGCAGAGUAACUGUUGUCGGCGUGACGGUAUCCAACCAGAAAGCCACGGCUAACUACGUGCCAGCAGCCGCGGUAAUACGUAGGUGGCAAGCGUUAUCCGGAUUUAUUGGGCGUAAAGCGAGCGCAGGCGGUUUUUUAAGUCUGAUGUGAAAGCCCUCGGCUUAACCGAGGAAGUGCAUCGGAAACUGGGAAACUUGAGUGCAGAAGAGGACAGUGGAACUCCAUGUGUAGCGGUGAAAUGCGUAGAUAUAUGGAAGAACACCAGUGGCGAAGGCGGCUGUCUGGUCUGUAACUGACGCUGAGGCUCGAAAGCAUGGGUAGCGAACAGGAUUAGAUACCCUGGUAGUCCAUGCCGUAAACGAUGAAUGCUAGGUGUUGGAGGGUUUCCGCCCUUCAGUGCCGCAGCUAACGCAUUAAGCAUUCCGCCUGGGGAGUACGACCGCAAGGUUGAAACUCAAAGGAAUUGACGGGGGCCCGCACAAGCGGUGGAGCAUGUGGUUUAAUUCGAAGCAACGCGAAGAACCUUACCAGGUCUUGACAUCUUUUGAUCACCUGAGAGAUCAGGUU
Molecule: ribosomal RNA, 629 nt
Filed under: Lacticaseibacillus rhamnosus
Lineage: Bacteria; Bacillati; Bacillota; Bacilli; Lactobacillales; Lactobacillaceae
Description: bacterial SSU rRNA
Rfam family: Bacterial small subunit ribosomal RNA
Source: RNAcentral